GCUUAACUGUCUCCCCUUUCAGGUCGGUGAAAUUGAUCUGCCCGUGCAGAAGCGGGUAUAAUUAUACAAGACGAGAAGACCCUUUGGAGCUUAAGGUACAAAACUCAACCACGUUAAGCAACUCAGUAAAAAGCAAAAACUUUAUGGAAUAUGAUAUUUUACCUUCGGUUGGGGCGACCACGGAAGAAAAAAGAUCCUCCGAGUGGACCGGGACAAACCUCCUAAAACCAAGAGACACACCUCUAAGCCACAGAACAUCUGACCAAACAUGAUCCGGCCAUAAAAGCCGAUCAACGAACCAAGUUACCCUAAGGAUAUCAGCGCAGUCCUCUCCUAGAGUCCAUAUCGACGAGGGGGUUUACGACCUCGAUGUUGGAUCAGGACAUCCUAAUGGUGCAGCCGCUAUUAGCGGUUCGUUUGUUCAACGAUUACAGUCCUACGUGAUCUGAGUUCAGAACGG
RNAcentral lists this ribosomal RNA (460 nucleotides) under Capoeta damascina. RNAcentral's name for it is "partial 16S ribosomal RNA". It matches the Rfam family "Bacterial large subunit ribosomal RNA", at positions 2010 to 2619 of the family's 2925-position model. Lineage: Eukaryota; Metazoa; Chordata; Actinopteri; Cypriniformes; Cyprinidae. The record is from RNAcentral.